GUGUUCGUGUUGUAGAGGUUAUCACGUGUGCUUUACACGCAGAUGGUCCUCGGUUCGAACCCUGGCGGGAACA
Molecule: non-coding RNA, 73 nt
Organism: Cordylochernes scorpioides
Lineage: Eukaryota; Metazoa; Arthropoda; Arachnida; Pseudoscorpiones; Chernetidae
Source: the annotation of a GenBank genome assembly